Molecule: long non-coding RNA, 353 nt
Filed under: Numida meleagris (helmeted guineafowl)
Lineage: Eukaryota; Metazoa; Chordata; Aves; Galliformes; Numididae
Description: lncRNA (ENSNMEG00000023110.1)
Source: RNAcentral
GUCCCACAUGGCCCGCGGGUCUGCUGUUGCCCAAGCUGGUGCUGAUGGCUCGUGGCCGGGCAGGCUCACAUUCCUGCCUGGAGUAUAAUGAGUGCGUGUGUGAGUGUGCGCGUGCACGUGUGCAAUAAGUAAUACAGGGUAAUCCCCUUCCGAUGACAGAAGCUUCAAGUGGUUACAAGCAGCAGAGCUGCUUUCAGCUGCCUGAGGUAACUGUCUGUAAAGUGCAAGGCCAAAUACAGAAGAAAAGAAAUGAAGAAUUAAGAGAAACAUUCUCCAAGGUUGAAGAACUGUAUAAUUACGUCAUUAUUCAAUUUCCUGGUUAACAGGAAUCCCAGACAAAAUUUGGAUCUGAU